This 2520-nucleotide long non-coding RNA is filed under the name Pongo abelii (Sumatran orangutan). RNAcentral's name for it is "lincRNA". The record is from RNAcentral. Lineage: Eukaryota; Metazoa; Chordata; Mammalia; Primates; Hominidae.
AGUAUUCUUCUUCCACCAGGAGGAAGAAGAACUGUGUUUCUGAAGUUUGGGAAGUAUAUGUAGACAUGGAGUCUGGCCUUGAGCUUUCUGUAGUAGAAAGGCCCAUGUCAGCAGCCCUUAAAGGGACAGGGUGAGGUGUACUUGGGGGAAAGAUGGUAGUAACCAUACUCCUCCCAAUUUUCCAUGAUACACCACAGUGUAAAAGAGGACCCCAGUGGUUUCCACAGCUACACAGAAAAUUCAUGGAGGGUAGCAGAAGAAGAUGAGCCGUGGAGCUGCCAGGUGGCUGCCAGUCCAAUCUUUUAAGGUUCAAUUUAGGGAAAAGGACAUUUUCUCUGUAAGCCCUGAUACCUUGAUAUGAGAAGGCCAAGAAGAAGCCUAUGGAGAUGCCCACAAGAGAAGACUCAAGCCGAGAGAAACUGAGGCCCCUGGCCCUCCAGCUUUCACUGAGCUCCAGCUGACAACCAUCAUCAAAUCACCAGCCAUGUGACUAUGCCAUGAUGGGAGGGAAUCACCCAGUGUCCAAUUGAUCUGAUGCCACAUGUAAAAGAGAAGAGCCUUCGCCUUUGAGCCCUGCCUAGAUUGCUACUCUGCACCAAGUUUGUUCUUUACUCCCAGCCUAAUGGAUGAAAUGAAACUUGGUGAGCUCCCAGAGUUGGACAACCUUCAGAAUGCUGAGACAUACUAAAUGAAGGAAGAAAGUCCUUUUGUGAGCUCUCCAAAACUCAGACCUCCCAGUGACUACGGCAAGGUCCUGUUGUUUCAGUGAAAAGCUGUUCAACUUUGUGAACCACACAGAGAAGAGACCCUGGGCCCUAAGAGGCUUUAAAAAAGAUUUAUCCAAUGAAUGAGGAGUGAUGGAAGUGAAGAAUACUAAACUCAAGUUAGUGGUUACCACUGGAUAAAGGAGAGAAAUAAAACUGCAAGAGGAACACAAGGCACCACCUGUAUCUGCAAUACUGUGUCACCAUAAGAAAACUCUGAUAUAAAACAUGCCAAAAUACUGAGCUCUGGCAAAAAACAAAAAGCAAACAAAUUCAGCCACAGCUAAAGGCUCUGCAUGAAUUCUGUGGUCUCUAUAGGAAGUAGUAAAAUGAUCUAUGGUACCCCAAAAGCAGUCUUGAGGGGAUUUCACAGAGCAAGUAUCAGAACAUGUUACAACUCAUUUCUAAGGAAGUUCCUCUAAGCUUCCUGUCUAUACCAUAAACCAUGGUCUGCUGGUCUCCUCUUCAUUCAUUCAUUCAUCCAAGAUACUUUCCGGAUGUCCCUGUCUUCAGGAAGAAGGGCCUAAUAGUGGAAUAUUAUGUGGGCAUUGCCACUGGACAGAAACAUUCUUCUCUUUGCAUAAAGUCACAUGAGUCUAAGAUAAUAAUCUGGCCUUAUUCCUCUACAGAAUGACCUCAUUGUUGGCUCAUGAAAUAAAUGAAAUAAUACUAAUAAUUCAUGCUCUCUUAAUUUCCUACCACAAAGUAAAAUUACAAAAGCAAAAUAAAAUAGAAUAAAUAAAAAUUUUAAAAGAUUACACAUGAGAAGUACUUCAAAAUGGAUUAUUAACUCAUUAGAACAUUCCACAAACUAUUAUAUACUUCUAAAAUAAAAGCAAUGUUUUAAAAAGUCUAUAUCACAGUUUAAAACAUAGAGAACUACUUUUUUUUAUCUAAUCAAAGAAUUUAUAAUGACUAUCAGAACAGGGUCUUAAGAAAAUGGCAGCUUUUAUUCUCGUUCCAUUUAAUACAGGAGCCAUUCUGUGAGGAAGCCCAAACUGGGUUGUGGAGAGGUUUAUCUGGAGAAGAAUCAACAGACAACACUAAUUUGCCAGCCAUUUGAGGAGCAGUAUUGAAAGUGGAUCCUCCAUCUCUAGGUCUUCAGUUUGAGAGGAGCUGUGACUGAGGAACCGCAUUUGCACCUGGACCUGAGUACUGUGUGUACGUUUACUGAGAAGACAGAGGAUUUCCAAGCAAUACAAGAAUUCUGUCACAUAAAAGAUCUGAUGGGAAACAUAUCAAAGUUGCUGGAUUGCUGGUUCUGUAUGCGUACUGGGAAACCAUCACACUCUCACUGUAGCUGCCUAGGUCUUCUGAUGCCAUGUUACAGAUGGCCUGUGACCUGGAAGCACCCAAAGCAACAUGCUGAGACUGAAUACAACUCCCUUUACUUCACAGUUCUCAUUUCCAGAGAUAUUUGCAAGGAAAGGGGACAUCUGCAAUGUUUGACAUAACAUCUUGUCAGCAUGUGGCUGCUUCUGCAUUUCUAGAAAAAGCAAUAUGAAUGGAGGCUGGCCAGAAGUCAAGGGAAGACAAAGGAUCCAGCUGGCUUCAGCAGCUCCUGUAAUGCAGCACAAGUCACAGUGUGGAAAAUGCAGAGAAAUGGUGAAUUACUGUAGAAAGACAGACGGCCAGGCUACCUUGAUUGCCACUGCACUGGGAUUACAUACAAACUUUAUUGCACAGGUCAUAUCGAUAAUUUACUAAAUUGAAAUUUGAGCAACAAAAGAUUAAAAACCACUUAAAAAAAUGGAAA